Molecule: long non-coding RNA, 203 nt
Filed under: Elaeis guineensis (African oil palm)
Lineage: Eukaryota; Viridiplantae; Streptophyta; Magnoliopsida; Arecales; Arecaceae
Description: long non-coding RNA (EGUI_LNC017832)
Source: RNAcentral
CGGGUUCCUUCAAAAUUUACCGAGAUACCCUCGGCGGAUGAGAGCUUCGAUCUCAUCCUUAAGCUAGAUGCAUUGCUCGGUAUUGUGGCCGUGGCCCCGGUGGAAUCGGCAGUACUUCCGUCGGUCGAGGCCUUUUGCCUUCAGAGGCGGAGGCCGUCGCAGGUAUUCUUCCCCCUCGAUCUCCAUCAAAAUCUGCGCACGGG